This 1143-nucleotide ribosomal RNA is filed under the name Triticum aestivum (bread wheat). RNAcentral's name for it is "partial small subunit ribosomal RNA". The record is from RNAcentral. Lineage: Eukaryota; Viridiplantae; Streptophyta; Magnoliopsida; Poales; Poaceae.
AUGGGGUCCGUGUCCCUGAAGCUGCCGGCGUCCCGCCGCCGCCACGGCGGGCCGCUCUCCUGCCUCUGCUCACCGGCGCCGCUCAACCUCCUCAUGCUGCUCUCCCUCCUCUGCACCAACCUCCUCGCCUUCUUCGCCUUCUUCGCCGCCCCUCCCCGCCACGACCCCGCCGCCGGCACAACCCCCUCCGCCUCCUCCAACCUCUCCGCGCACGUCGCCGCCAUCGCGCUCGAGAUCGGCGGCGGGUCCUCCUCCUCCGGCGCCCGCCUCCCGGACGGCCUGCCCCCGGAGCUGCUCCUCUUCCUCACCCCGCACGCGCUGCCGCUCGGCCGCGACGCGCGGACGGGGCUCACCCACAUGCCGGCCUCCGUCGCGGCCUCCUGCCUCCGCUCCCCGUCCGCGCUGGCGCUCCUCUCGGCCUUCAUGUCCUACGCGCCCCACUCCGCCUGCCCGCGCAACGCCACCCUCCCGCGCCGGCUCGUCUCCAAGGGCUGCGAGCCGCUGCCCCGCCGCCGGUGCCUCUCCCGCGGGCCCCGCGCCCCGCUCCCGGCCUCCGGCAUGGGCCUCGACCACCGCCGCUGGGACGGCCCCGCGCGCGGCGGCGGCCACGAGUUCCUCGUCGACGACGUGCUGCGCCUGGCCGCGUCCAAGAUCCGGAUCGGCCUCGACGUCGCCGGCGGCGCCGCCAACUUCGCCGCCCGGAUGAGGGAGCGCGGGGUCACCGUCGUCACCUCCGUGCUCGACGGGCCCGGGAAGCCGAUGAACGAGUUCGUGGCGGCGAGGGGCCUGUUCCCGCUCCUGCUCUCGCCGGCGCACCGGUUCCCCUUCUACGACGGGGUGUUUGACCUGGUGCACGUCGGCACCGCGGCGCUGGACGAGGCCGGGUCGCCCGCCAUGGGGCAGGCGGCGACGCCGGAGGCGCUGGAGUUCUUCCUGUUCGACGUCGACAGGGUGCUGCGCGCCGGCGGGCUGCUCUGGAUCGACAGCUACGUGUGCCAGAGCGAGGAGAGGAGGCGAGUGGUUGCCAAGCUCGUUGACAGGUUUGGUUACAAGAAGCUCAAGUGGGUCGUCGGAGAGAAGGCCGGCGGUGCAGCGACAUCAACCUACCUCUCGGCGGUGCUGCGAAAGCCGGCAAGAAGCUGA